RNAcentral lists this ribosomal RNA (325 nucleotides) under uncultured soil bacterium. Its description in RNAcentral is "bacterial SSU rRNA". It matches the Rfam family "Bacterial small subunit ribosomal RNA", at positions 26 to 354 of the family's 1533-position model. The record is from RNAcentral.
AGAUUGAACGCUGGCGGAAUGCUUUACACAUGCAAGUCGAACGGCAGCACGGGGGCAACCCUGGUGGCGAGUGGCGAACGGGUGAGUAAUACAUCGGAACGUGCCCAGUCGUGGGGGAUAACGUAGCGAAAGCUACGCUAAUACCGCAUACGAACUCUGGUUGAAAGCGGGGGAUCGCAGGACCUCGCGCGAUUGGAGCGGCCGAUGGCAGAUUAGGUAGUUGGUGGGGUAAAGCUCACCAAGCCGACGAUCUGUAGCUGGUCUGAGAGGACGACCAGCCACACUGGGACUGAGACACGGCCCAGACUCCGUACGGGAGCAGCGA